AACUAGGAGACUCCACCAUUACAGGCAGCUACCAACAGGUAACUGGUAUCCUCUUAUAUGCUCUCUCUUUUAUCCUCUUUCUGACUCAUGACCUCCUUUUCUAGCUCUGGUCCUUUUCCUCUUUCCCUCUCUUGCGAUUGUUCUCCUGAAGGACCUGGUCUCAUCCCACAGUCAAGGUCCUCGGGUCUUCGGUGUCGAUAAAACCCCUCCCCAGCCCUCCUGCCCGCUGCCGUGGCGUUGCCCUGUUUACUGGCCCCCAGGCUGCAGCUUUGAAUCUUGCUGAACAACCCUUCAGGGUCCAGGGAGGGGCUGGGCUGGGGUCAGAUGAGCUGGACCCCACUGUGCCGGAGGGACUCCCAGUGACAUGUGGGUCUGCUCUGGGCACCCCCUGCCCAGAUAGGACUUUUCCUGCACGGGCGUCUCUGGACAUACACAGCUGUUCUCUUCCUCACAGGUGCCAGCAAGUCCUUCCUCUGCACCUGCAGAAGCAGCAACAGAAAAGACACAAGUGGAAGAGGAAGUGAAAACAAGGAAGCCCAAGAAGAAAACCAGGAAGUCCAGGAAGAAUGCCUAGUGGAAUAUCCUGAACUAUUGGGACAUUUUUAA
Molecule: long non-coding RNA, 606 nt
Filed under: Piliocolobus tephrosceles (Ugandan red Colobus)
Lineage: Eukaryota; Metazoa; Chordata; Mammalia; Primates; Cercopithecidae
Description: lncRNA (ENSPTEG00000033780.1)
Source: RNAcentral